AAAACAAUAUUAUCACUCUAUUUAAAGGAUUGAAAGAGGUUUGUUUGGAGUUGUGUGCGGUUGUAUAGUUAUAAUUGUGAUAUUUCAUUCAAAAGUUAGCAGAAAAUAGAAAAAGAUAAAAAAUGGAAAAAGAAAAGAAGGAUGACAAUAUAUAUUCCUUCUAGAAAAAAAAAAGAAAAAAAAAAAGAAAAGAGAAUAAAAAUAGUUGCAAGGUUGUUGUUUGAAAAUGAAUGAAGUUUUAUGUAUUUCAACUCCGACAAUUUUUUUCAAUUUUAGCCUCGUACCCCUUAUG
RNAcentral lists this long non-coding RNA (292 nucleotides) under Lathyrus oleraceus (garden pea). RNAcentral's name for it is "Pisum sativum (pea) long non-coding RNA (PSAT_LNC018870)". Lineage: Eukaryota; Viridiplantae; Streptophyta; Magnoliopsida; Fabales; Fabaceae. The record is from RNAcentral.